This 2950-nucleotide ribosomal RNA is filed under the name human gut metagenome. Its description in RNAcentral is "bacterial LSU rRNA". It matches the Rfam family "Bacterial large subunit ribosomal RNA". The record is from RNAcentral.
AGGGCGUAUGGUGGAUGCCUUGGCAGACAGGACCGAUGAAGGACGUUUGAGGCUGCGAUAUGCCUCGGGGAGCCGCCAACAGGGCUUUGAUCCGAGGAUUUCCGAAUGGGGGAACCCACCGACCGUCAUGGGUCGGUACCGGCUUCGGCCGGGGGGUACGCAGGGAAGUGAAACAUCUCAGUACCUGCAGGAAAGGAUAUUCCGUGAGUAGUGGCGAGCGAAAGCGGAUGAUGGCCAAACCUUGCGCGUGUGAUACCCGUCGGGGGUUGCGCGCGGGGUGUUGCGGGAUCGCGUGCGCCGGCUCCGACGGGCCGGCCGGCAGUUGCAGAAAACCAUGUGUCAGGGGAACCGGGUUGAAUACCGGGCCGCAGAGGGUGAGGGCCCCGUACCUGAACGCGCAUGGUCUGCCGAUCGCGUCUCCCAAGUAGCACGGGUCCCGUGGAACCCCGUGCGAAUCCGCCCAGACCGUUGGGUAAGCCUGAAUAUUCCUGUCUGACCGAUAGCGAACGAGUACCGUGAGGGAAAGGUGAAAAGUACCCCGGGAGGGGAGUGAAACAGUCUCUGAAACCGUGCGCCUACAAUCCGUCGGAGCCCUUUUGUGGGGUGACGGCGUGCCUAUCGAAAAAUGAGUCUGCGAGUCAGUGGCAUGUGGCGAGCAUAACCCGUGUGGGGUAUGCGUAGCGAAGGCGAGUCUUAAAAGGCGUUUGAGUCGCGUGUCCUGGACCCGAAGCGGGAUGAUCUAGCCCUGAGCAGGUUGAAGCGCGGGUAAGACCGCGUGGAGGACCGAACCCACCUGGGUUGAAAACCGGGGGGAUGACUUGGGGCUAGGGGUGAAAGGCCAAUCAAAUUCCGUGAUAGCUGGUUCUCUCCGAAAUGCAUUUGGGUGCAGCGUCGGGUCAUUACGUCCCGGGGGUAGAGCUACUGGAUGCUUGCGGGCCCGUAUCGGGUACCAACAGCAACCAAACUCCGAAUACCGGUGACGCGUAUCCCGGCAGUGAGUCGGCGGGGGAUAAGCUUCGUCGUCGAAAGGGAAACAGCCCAGACCGUCGUCUAAGGUCCCGAAGCGUGUGCUAAGUGGGAAAGGAUGUGGAGUCGCAUAGACAGCCAGGAGGUUGGCUCAGAAGCAGCCACCCUUGAAAGAGUGCGUAACAGCUCACUGGUCUAGUGGUUCCGCGCCGACAAUGUAGCGGGGCUCAAGCACACCACCGAAGACGCGGCAGUAUUUUGUACUGGGUAGGAGAGCGUCCCAUGAGGGGCGAAGCGGCCGUGUGAACGCGCCGUGGACUUCAUGGGAGUGAGAAUGCAGACAUGAGUAGCGAGAGACGGGUGAAGAUCCCGUCCGCUGGAUGACCAAGGGUUCCAGGGCCACGUUCAUCGUCCCUGGGUGAGUCGGGUCCUAAGGCGAGGCCGACAGGCGUAGUCGAAUGGAUGAACGGGUCGAUAUUCCCGUACCGGCUUUCAGCCGCCAAAACCGAGGCUUGGAGUACUAACCUCCGGGUCCGGGCUUACUGCUCCUUCGGGGGCGGGAUGCCCUGGCCUGUUGGGACCGAUCCUUGUAGUAGGUCAGCGCAGGAGUGACGCAGAAGGGUAGCCGGCCGCGGAGGUGGUCUUCCGUGGUCAAGCACGCAGGGCGUGGGACAGGCAAAUCCGUCCCGCAUGGGUCCGAGGUGCGAUGAUGGGGGCCUUAUGGCCCGAUAUCCGGUGAUCCCGGCUGCCGAGAAAAGCUUCGGCGUCAGGCUCAAAGCCGCCCGUACCCCAAACCGACACUGGUGGUCAGGUAGAGAAUACCAAAGCGAUCGAGCGAAUCCUGGUCAAGGAACUCGGCAAAUCACUCCCGUUCCUUCGGUUUAAGGGAGACCCCCGAUGGUGAACACACUUGCUGUGGGAGCUUUUGGGGGUGGCACAGACCAGGGGGUAGCGACUGUUUACCAAAAACACAGGUGCAUGCGAAGGCGCAAGCCGCUGUAUAUGCACUGACGCCUGCCCGGUGCCGGAAGGUUAAGAGGAUCCGUCAGCCUUCGGGUGAAGCGGUGAAUUCAAGCCCCGGUAAACGGCGGUGGUAACUAUAACCAUCCUAAGGUAGCGAAAUUCCUUGUCGGGUAAGUUCCGACCUGCACGAAUGGCGUAAUGAUGGCCAGGCUGUCUCCACCCGAGACUCAGUGAAAUUGAACUCGCUGUGAAGAUGCAGUGUACCCGCGGCAAGACGGAAAGACCCCGUGAACCUUUACUAUAGCUUGACACUGAACAUUGAGCCUUGAUGUGUAGGAUAGGUGGGAGGCUUUGAAGUGUGGACGCCAGUCUGCAUGGAGCCGACCUUGAAAUACCACCCUUUAAUGUUUGAUGUUCUAACGUUGGCCCGUUAUCCGGGUUGCGGACAGUGUCUGGUGGGUAGUUUGACUGGGGCGGUCUCCUCCUAAAGAGUAACGGAGGAGCACGAAGGUUGGCUAAUCCUGGUCGGACAUCAGGAGGUUAGUGCAAUGGCAUAAGCCAGCUUGACUGCGAGCGUGACGGCGCGAGCAGGUGCGAAAGCAGGUCAUAGUGAUCCGGUGGUUCUGAAUGGAAGGGCCAUCGCUCAACGGAUAAAAGGUACUCCGGGGAUAACAGGCUGAUACCGCCCAAGAGUUCAUAUCGACGGCGGUGUUUGGCACCUCGAUGUCGGCUCAUCACAUCCUGGGGCUGAAGUAGGUCCCAAGGGUAUGGCUGUUCGCCAUUUAAAGUGGUACGCGAGCUGGGUUUAGAACGUCGUGAGACAGUUCGGUCCCUAUCUGCCGUGGGCGCUGGAGAACUGAGGGGGGCUGCUCCUAGUACGAGAGGACCGGAGUGGACGCAUCACUGGUGUUCGGGUUGUCAUGCCAAUGGCACUGCCCGGUAGCUAAAUGCGGAAGAGAUAAGUGCUGAAAGCAUCUAAGCACGAAACUUGCCCCGAGAUGAGUUCUCCCUGACUCCUUGA